AUGGCGACGGCGGUGCAGUGGCCGGUGAUGGUGGUGGUGGUGAUGAUGGGGGCGGUGAUGGCGGCGCGCGUGGGGGCGGACAUGGACGCGGACCGGAGCGAGUGCGCGGAGCAGCUGGUGGGGUUGGCGCCGUGCCUGCAGUACGUGCAGGGGCAGGCGCGGUCGCCGGCGCCGGACUGCUGCGGCGGGCUGAGCCAGGUGCUGGACAAGAGCCCCAAGUGCCUGUGCGUGCUGGUCAAGGACAAGGACGACCCCAACCUGGGCAUCAAGAUCAACGCCUCCCUCGCGCUCGCCCUCCCCUCCGCCUGCCGCAACACCAAGGCCAACGUCUCCCACUGCCCAGAGCUGCUGCACCUCCCUCCGAACUCCAAGGACGCCGCCAUCUUCAGCCCCGGCGGCGACAAGGGCUCCGCUGCAGCUCUAGCCAAGGACAACACGGCGUCGACGGCCAACUCCCGCGCGCAGCAGGCGGCCAGCGCCGGCACCGCCUCCUCGACGGCGACCGCCGGCGUCGCACUGGCGGCGUUGCUCGCCGGCUACCUUGCGCUGCUCCUGCCCGCUGACUUCCUGGCCGCCGCCUCCUCCUUCUAG
RNAcentral lists this ribosomal RNA (591 nucleotides) under Triticum aestivum (bread wheat). Its description in RNAcentral is "partial small subunit ribosomal RNA". Lineage: Eukaryota; Viridiplantae; Streptophyta; Magnoliopsida; Poales; Poaceae. The record is from RNAcentral.